This 72-nucleotide transfer RNA is filed under the name Anaerolineales bacterium. Its description in RNAcentral is "tRNA-Thr". It matches the Rfam family "tRNA". Rfam says of the family: Transfer RNA (tRNA) molecules are approximately 80 nucleotides in length. Their secondary structure includes four short double-helical elements and three loops (D, anti-codon, and T loops). Further hydrogen bonds mediate the characteristic L-shaped molecular structure. tRNAs have two regions of fundamental functional importance: the anti-codon, which is responsible for specific mRNA codon recognition, and the 3' end, to which the tRNAs corresponding amino acid is attached (by aminoacyl-tRNA synthetases). tRNAs cope with the degeneracy of the genetic code in two manners: having more than one tRNA (with a specific anti-codon) for a particular amino acid; and 'wobble' base-pairing, i.e. permitting non-standard base-pairing at the 3rd anti-codon position. The record is from RNAcentral. RNAcentral also lists the same sequence under 1 other name. Lineage: Bacteria; Bacillati; Chloroflexota; Anaerolineae; Anaerolineales.
GCCGACGUAGCUCAGUGGCAGAGCAACCGCCUUGUAAGCGGUGGGUCAAGGGUUCGACUCCCUUCGUCGGCU